CUGAUAAUGUAGAGGUCGGCAGUUCGAGUCUGCCUGGGACUA
RNAcentral lists this transfer RNA (42 nucleotides) under Maribacter dokdonensis. The record is from RNAcentral. Lineage: Bacteria; Pseudomonadati; Bacteroidota; Flavobacteriia; Flavobacteriales; Flavobacteriaceae.